GCCGGUUUAGCUCAGUUGGCCAGAGCAGCGCUCUUGUAAAGCGAAGGUCGUCAGUUCAAAUCCGACAACCGGCACCA
This 77-nucleotide transfer RNA is filed under the name Acidimicrobiia bacterium. RNAcentral's name for it is "tRNA-Thr". It matches the Rfam family "tRNA". From Rfam's summary of the family: Transfer RNA (tRNA) molecules are approximately 80 nucleotides in length. Their secondary structure includes four short double-helical elements and three loops (D, anti-codon, and T loops). Lineage: Bacteria; Bacillati; Actinomycetota; Acidimicrobiia. RNAcentral also lists the same sequence under 1 other name. The record is from RNAcentral.